GGACUACUGGGGUAUCUAAUCCUGUUCGCUACCCACGCUUUCGUCCAUCAGCGUCAAUCCAUUAGUAGUAACCUGCCUUCGCAAUUGGUAUUCCAUGUAAUCUCUAAGCAUUUCACCGCUACACUACAUAUUCUAGUUACUUCCUAAUAAUUCAAGUUUAACAGUAUCAAUGGCCGUUCCACCGUUGAGCGAUGGGCUUUCACCACUGACUUAUUAAACCGCCUACGGACCCUUUAAACCCAAUGAUUCCGGAUAACGCUUGGAUCCUCCGUAUUACCGCGGCUGCUGGCAC
RNAcentral lists this unclassified non-coding RNA (292 nucleotides) under uncultured fungus. Its description in RNAcentral is "sequence contains ITS1". The record is from RNAcentral. Lineage: Eukaryota; Fungi.